Molecule: ribosomal RNA, 385 nt
Filed under: uncultured bacterium
Lineage: Bacteria
Description: bacterial SSU rRNA
Rfam family: Bacterial small subunit ribosomal RNA
Source: RNAcentral
AGUGAACGCUGGCGGCAGGCCUAACACAUGCAAGUCGAGCGGCAGCGGGUCCCCGCGAGGGGAUGCCGGCGAGCGGCGGACGGGUGAGGAACACAUCGGAAUCUGCCUGGUUGUGGGGGAUAACGUAGGGAAACUUACGCUAAUACCGCAUGCGACCCUGAGUCGACGGACUGGGGGUGAAAGUGAGGGACCUUCGGGCCUCACGCGACCAGAUGAGCCGAUGUCGGAUAGCUAGUUGGCGGGGUAACGGCCCGCCAAGGCGACGAUCCGUAGCUGGUCUGAGAGGAUGAUCAGCCACACUGGGACUGAGACACGGCCCAGACUCCUACGGGAGGCAGCAGUGGGGAAUCUUGGACAAUGGGCGCAAGCCUGAUCCAGCCAUGCC